AUCUUGAAAAUAAAAUAAGUUGGCGGUAUUUUAGUCUAUUCAGAGGAACUUGCCCUAUAAUUGAUGAUCCACGAUUUAAUUUACUUAUUUUUUUAGUUUGCAUAUCGCCGUAGAUUGAAUAUUCUAAAAAGAAUUGGUAAUGUUCAAGAUUUUUUUAAAAAAAUAAAUCAGGUCAAGGUGUAGCUUAUAGAUAAGAAGAGGUGAGUUACAAUAAGUUUACUUACAAUGGAUUAAAAAAUGAAUAUUUUUUAUGAAGGUGGAUUUGAAAGUAAUUUUAUUUAAAUUAAUAAAAUGAUUUUAGCUCUAAAAUAUGUACAUAUCGCCCGUCACUUUCAUUACAAAAUGGAAUAAGUCGUAACAAAGUAGGUGUACUGGAAAGUGUUUCUGGAAACAAAUUAGAGCUUGAUUUAAGCAUUUUAGUUACAUUAAAAAGUUUAUUGUAAAUUCAAUAUGAUUUGAAUUUUUUUUAUUAUUGAAAUUUAUUAUUUAUAAAAUUUUAAAAUAAGAAUAUUUAUUUUUUAUUAUAUUUUUUGAAAAAAUUAUUUUAAUUAUAGUUUAUUAGUAUUGUGAAAGAAUUAAUAAAAAUAAUUGAAAGAAAAUUUUAUUUUUUGUACCUGGGUAUCAGGGUUUACUAAAAAAAUAUUAAAAAUUUAAUUUUCUCGAAUUAAUAAGAGUUAUAAUUAUAUAUUGUUUUUGUGGAAUAAAAAUUAUUAAUAUAAUUAUUGAAGUUAAAUGCUAUUCGAUUAUUAAUAUAUCUAGUUUUUAAAGAAAAAAAUUUAAUUUUUUUAUUAAAAAUUAUUUCAACUAAAUUUUUAGUUUUAUAUUUUUAAUAUUUUAUAUUUUAAGGGAUGAGCUUUAAAAUAAAAUUUUUUAAAAUAAUAAAUUUUUUUUAUUAAGUAGAAUUGUAAGUUUUUAUCUUUAAAAGUGUGUUGUUACUUUUUUUAAAAUAAAUAUAAUUUUUAUAUUUUUGAAAUAUUUUAUUUAAAUAAAAAUUUAAAUUUAAAAAAUUUUGUGAUAAUGGUAAAAUUAGUAUAAAAUUUUGUUAUAAUUAUUUUUUGUACGAAAGGUUAAAUAAAGGAACUCGGCAAAUUAAUUUUUCACCUGUUUAUUAAAAACAUGGCCUUUUGAUUAUAAUUUAAGGUCUGACCUGCCCACUGAGAAUUUAAAUGGCCGCGGUAUUCUGACCGUGCAAAGGUAGCAUAAUCAUUAGUUUUUUAAUUGAAAGCUGGAAUGAAAGGUUGAAUGAGAAAAUAACUGUCUCUAUUUUAAUUUUUUAGAAAUUUAUUUUUAAGUAAAAAAGCUUAAAUUAUAUUUGAAGACGAGAAGACCCUAUAGAGUUUUAUUAUUUUACUUUUUAAAUUUAUUAGUAUAUAG
This 1374-nucleotide ribosomal RNA is filed under the name Eurychirus bituberculatus. RNAcentral describes it as "partial 16S ribosomal RNA". The stretch from base 1 to 395 matches the Rfam family "Microsporidia small subunit ribosomal RNA", at positions 768 to 1311 of the family's 1311-position model. Lineage: Eukaryota; Metazoa; Arthropoda; Insecta; Coleoptera; Curculionidae. The record is from RNAcentral.